AACUCGGAGAGAGAAAAACAUGAAGACGCAAGUUAUGAUAGUGGUAGCUCUUCUGAUUCUGGUGGCUUUAUCUUCCAACUCGGACAUGGUGGUGGAGGCUCAGUUAGGCCCCGGCGACUGCUACGACUGUUGCGCCACCGGCUGCGUCCAGCGUGACCGUGAGUAUAUACUCUCUUCUUUCUUAAUUGCCACACACACAUAUUCCAUUUCUAUAAAUCUUUUUAAUACUAUUUCAUUUUCAGCCAAAAAAACGUCCAAAUGCGAAUAUCAAUGCGCCAAACGCUGCGGCCGAGGUAAAUAUACUUUAUAACACUAGUUAGAAGAAUAAUGAAACCGGUACCAUGUAAUGAAACUUUUACGGUGUAUGUCUACUAAGCCGAUCAUAUAUAAGUUGAUUUUGUUUUCCAACUGGGUGAAACCAAAAAGGGUUUUGGAACUGAUGUUGGUGUACUUUUUUAUUGCAGGUGGUAAAAGAGCAAGUGGUUAGUCUGGUGCUUAAACUUUGUAUUCACUAAGAUCUAUAUAUACAAUAUGUUGAAUCGUAUCUCUUUAAAACAUAGUAUGCAAUAUCGUAAUCAAUAAAUCAAGUGGUUGUGGUUCACUGUUGAGUUAGAAUGGUAAAAGAUUUGUCUAUAUAUGGGUCAAAGCCUCAUACCAACUAUGGACCUCCCUUGUUGGGUUUCUAAACAGUCUACGUAAACCGUAAACGCUUUGAGAAGCAAAAGGCAUGCGUUUCUACAUGCUUCUGGGAUUAUCACAAAUUAGCAUAUAAUCCAGUUCGGCUAUAAUAGCUACAAUGUUUGUGUUGGAGAUAAGCUUGAAGAAAGCUUGAGGAGCAAGUAAUCUAUUUCCUAUUUGGUUUAUGAUCCAUUUGAGAUAAGGAUCAUAAUAUGAUUUGUGUUUAUCUAUUAGGAAUAGGAAUUAUGAGUUAUAUAUAAAGCAAUGCCGAAUGAGACAUAUAGCUACGAUUAUUGUGAUUGAGUUUGUGAGUUGUGAUAUUGAGCUUUGAGGUGAUUGAAUAAAGAAGAGGGACUUCCCAUUGUGAUUUACUGUGUUGCUAGCUUGAUCUUCUGUUUCUAUAUUUGGUAUCAGAGCCAGACAUUGAAAGCAUAAGAUUAUAAUGGCAGACAUAAAAGAUGAACACGAACUUGGCAACAAAGAGGCUCGAUCCUCAUCCAUUAAGUUUACAAUGUUAACAUCUACAAACUAUACGGUGUGGGCUAUGAGAAUGAAGAUUCCGUUGAAGGUUCACAAGGUUUGGGAAGUUAUCGAUCCUGGAAACAAAUCCGAAGAAAAAAUUAACUUAGCUAUCGCACUCUUGUUUCAAUCAAUUCCGGAGGCAUUGACUUUACAAGUAGGAGAUCUAGACACGGCAAAAGCCGUGUGGGACGCUAUCAAAGCUCGCCAUAUAGGAGCUGAGAGAGUACGAGAAGCUAGGUUACAAACACUGAUGGCAGAAUUUGAAAGAAUCAAGAUGAAAGAUGGUGAUACGAUUGAUAUGUUCGUUGGAAGAUUGUCUGAAAUAACUUCAAAAUCUGCAUCUCUGGGAGAAGUCAUUGAGGAACCAAAGCUGGUAAAGAAGUUUCUGAAAAGCUUGCCGAGAAAGAAAUAUAUACACAUGGUUGCUUCUUUAGAACAAGUCCUGGACCUUAAUGAAACAAGUUUCGAGGACAUUGUUGGUAGAAUGAAAGCGUAUGAGGAGAGAGUUGCUGAAGAUGAAGAAGACGACAUAGCAGUUGAUCAAGAGAAACUGAUGUACGCAAACAUGGACUAUAGUCAAGACGGCAAUAGCGGGAACUAUGGCAGAGGCAGAGGACGAGGUGGUCGCGGCUCAUGGAAAGGAAGAGGUCGUGGCCGCUCUGGAUCUUUUCAUCAACAGAGAGAUGCAUACAAACAAGGAAAAGGUCGUGAUCUCUCUCAUAUUACAUGUUUUCAGUGUGAUAAACAGGGCCACUAUGCGACUGAGUGUCCAAACAAAGUACUAAAACUUCAAGAGACCACUGAGAAGAAGGAUGAAGAAACUCAAGAAGCAUAUGAACUAAUGAUGAAUGAAGUUGUCUUUCUCAAUGAAAACAGAGUGAACCCUAAUAUUUUUGAGGCUGAGACUGAUUCAAGUAAUGUUUGGUAUCUCGACAAUGGAGCGAGUAACCAUAUGAGUGGUAAUCGUCACUUCUUUUCAGAGCUGGAUGAGACUGUUACUGGUAAAGUACGGUUUGGCGACGACUCCAGAAUAAAUAUAGAAGGAAAAGGCGCAGUAUGUUUUAUCUUCGAUGGAGGGGAGAUGAAGAUACUAAAUAAUGUUUACUACAUUCCUAAACUUAAGAGCAACAUUGUGAGUCUAGGCCAAGCUACUGAGGUAGGCUGUGAGGUACGAAUGAAAAAUAAUACACUGCUACUCUAUGACCGCGUGGGACAACUAAUGGUAAGGACAACUAGGUCAAAGAAUAGGCUAUACAAGGUCAAUCUACAAGUCGACCUUAUUCGUUGUCUUCAAGUAAAGUCUACAACAGAUUCAACUAAAUGGCAUGCUCGGUUGGGUCAUAUUAAUAAAGAAACGAUGAAGAUGAUGGUGAGCAAGGAUCUUGUUGUUGGGAUACCGGAGAUUAAAGUUAAUAAAGAAAUGUGUGUGUCUUGCUUGCGGGGAAAACAAACUAGAAUGCCAUUCCCACGAGCAACGUCCUUUCGAGCAACUGAUCUACUUGAGCUGAUUCAUGGGGAUUUGUGUGGGCCUAUUACAGCAGCAACACCAGCGCACAAACGGUACAUAUUCGUACUCAUUGAUGAUCACUCCCGUUACAUGUGGACUGUUUUGUUAGGUGAAAAAAGCGAAGCCUUUGAAAAAUUCAAAACAUUCAGAUCGCUUGUUGAACAAGAAACAAAGACAACGAUAAAAACGCUCCGUACAGACAGGGGAGGUGAGUUUACCUCCCACGAGUUUCAAGCGUACUGUGAUAAGAAUGGGAUUAAUAGAAACUUGACGGCUCCCUACUCACCUCAACAAAACGGAGUUGUGGAGCGACGUAACUGCACGUUGUUGGAGAUGACAAGAAGCUUGCUGAAACACAUGAACAUGCCAAAUGCAUUGUGGGGUGAAGCAACGAGACACGCUACCUACUUGAUUAACAGAGUGGCAAUGAGAUCAUUAGAAGGAAAAACGCCAUACGAGGUCUUGAGAAGUCGAAAGCCUAAUCUAUCUCACUUAAGAGUAUUUGGUUGUGUGUGUUAUGCGAAAACAGAUACUGCAGGACGAAAGAAACUCGAUGACAGGACGAGGAUACUUGUUCAUCUUGGAACAGAACCUGGAUCAAAGGUGUAUCGCCUAGUUGAUCCGGUAAGCAAACGAGUUGUAGUAAGCCAGGAUGUUCUCUUCGAUGAGGAAAAGGAAUGGAGCUGGAGUCAUGGAAUAAACUCGUUAAACACUGAUCUAGGAGAGUUUAGAGUUAACUUAAAACAGUUGAGUAAUGGUGAAGAAACUCCAGUGGAGUUGACUGAUAAUGGUGAAGAAGAUGAAGAGGAACAGAGCAACAGCGAUGAAGAAGAAAGCGUGAAUCAACCAAGAAGAUCAUCUCGUGUAACCACUAAACCUUCUUACCUUGAUGAUUACGUUAUGCUUGCAGAAAUCGAAGGUGAACGUUUGUUGGUGAUCAUAAAUAAUGAGCCGUGGGACUUUAGUGAGGCUAAAAGUUUGAAAGUCUGGAUUGAGGCUUGUGAGGAUGAGCUUUACUCGAUAGAAAAAAAUAAUACAUGGACUCUUGUGGAUCUACCCGAAGGAGUGAAGCCAAUCGGAUUAAAAUGGGUAUUUAAAAUCAAACGUAAUGCAGAUGGAAGCAUCAGUAAGUAUAAAGCUCGCUUAGUAGCUAAGGGGUACGUCCAGAGGCAUGGUGUGGACUUUGAUGAAGUAUUCACUCCAGUAGCUCGUAUUGAAACCAUAAGAUUGAUCAUUGCACUUGCAGCCUCGAGUGGAUGGGAGAUACAUCAUCUCGAUGUAAAAACGGCCUUUAUCCAUGGAGAUCUAAAGGAAGAGGUAUAUGUUAAUCAACCUGAGGGUUUCGUUGUUGCAGGACACGAAAAGAAAGUUUACAAGCUCAAGAAAGCUUUAUAUGGCUUGCGUCAAGCUCCUAGGGCCUGGAACAUUAAGUUGAACCAGAGCCUACGCGGACUAAACUUCGAGCGAUGCUCGAAGGAACCAUCACUCUACCGAAAGGUAGUGAGUAAGGAGCUUCUUGUUGUAGUAGUGUACGUAGACGACCUGCUUAUCACUGGAUCCUCGCUGAAACUAAUUCAUGAGUUUAAACUUGAGAUGGCGGCUAAGUUCGAGAUGAGUGAUCUUGGUAAAUUAACAUAUUACUUGGGUAUUGAGGUUCAUCAACAUGAGGGAGACAUCAUACUAAAACAAGACCGUUAUGCACAAAGAAUACUUGAGAAAACUGGUAUGAGUUCUUGUAAUCCGACACAUGUGCCGAUGGAGAUGAAUGCAAGAUUCUCUAGAGCGCUUAAAGAGAAGAGCAUUGGAGAAACAGAGUAUCGCCGCAGCAUUGGUUGUCUCAGGUACCUACUACAUACUCGGCCUGAUCUAUCAUAUUCUGUUGGGGUCCUUAGUAGAUAUAUGCAAGAUCCAAGGGACUCGCAUGGCGCAGCCUUAAAACAGGUUUUAAGGUAUCUACGGGGAACAUGUUCGCUUGGCCUACACUUCAAACGCAACCUGAGUGUGAAGUUAACAGGGUUUAGUGACAGUUCUCAUAAUGUUGAUGAGGAUGAUGGAAAGAGCACAACUGGCCACAUCUUUUAUCUUGGAGAGAGCCCUAUCACCUGGUGUUCGACCAAGCAAGAGAUAGUAGCAUUGUCCUCUUGUGAAGCUGAGUUUAUGGCUGCAACUGAAGCAGCUAAGCAGGCCAUUUGGCUCCAAGAUCUCUUAAGUGAAACCGUAGGAGAAAGAAGCAAGCGUGUGGUUAUAAAAGUUGAUAACAAAUCAGCAAUUGCAUUGACAAAAAAUCCAGUCUUUCACAGACGGAGUAAACACAUACACCGAAGGUUUCACUUUAUUAGAGAGUGUGUUGAGAAUGAACAAGUGGAGGUGGAGCAUGUACCUGGAAGUGAACAGCGAGCUGACAUACUGACGAAAUCUUUUGGAAGGAUAAAAUUCAAGAAAAUGAGAGGCAUGAUCGGAGUGAAGGAUGUGAAUGAAAUUGAGUUCAAGCUUAAGGGGGAGAUUGUUGGAGAUAAGCUUGAAGAAAUCUUGAGGAGCAAGUAAUCUAUUUCCUAUUUGGUUUAUGAUCCAUUUGAGAUAAGGAUCAUAAUAUAAUUUGUGUUUAUCUAUUAGGAAUAGGAAUUAUGAGUUAUAUAUAAAGCAAUGUCGAAUGAGACAUAUAGCUACGAUUAUUGUGAUUGAGUUUGUGAGUUGUGAUAUUGAGCUUUGAGGUGAUUGAAUAAAGAAG
This 5435-nucleotide long non-coding RNA is filed under the name Brassica rapa (field mustard). Its description in RNAcentral is "long non-coding RNA (BRAP_LNC007106)". Lineage: Eukaryota; Viridiplantae; Streptophyta; Magnoliopsida; Brassicales; Brassicaceae. The record is from RNAcentral.